GCAAGACUGCAGCAGUGUCUGCAAGGGGGUGAAGAGGAAAAGCCAGAGACUGAAGUACUGCAGGGUUUGGGGUGAUGCUGGCUCUGGGACGGCUGCAGGCAGGGAGGCAUAUCACUUCCUAUGCAGGUACCUCACUCCCUAUGCAGGUACAUCACUCCCUGUGCAGGUACCUCACUCCCUGUGCAGGUACAUCACUCCCUGUGCAGGUACCUCACUCCCUGCGCAGGUACCUCACUCCCUGUGCAGGUACAUCACUCCCUGUGCAGGUACCUCACUCCCUGUGCAGGUACAUCACUCCCUGUGCAGGUAC
Long non-coding RNA from Pezoporus flaviventris, 310 nucleotides. RefSeq lists it as uncharacterized. The transcript has 3 exons. Lineage: Eukaryota; Metazoa; Chordata; Aves; Psittaciformes; Psittacidae. The record is from RefSeq and is a predicted model, not a curated record.